CAAGGGGGGGCACAAGGACGUGGUUGGUAGUUUGUCAUCAGUAUUUACUCCGUUCUCAUCGAAGAAAAUGUUCUUUUCCACUCGGUCAUCUCAUAACAGAGAAAGAAGAUUUGAGAGCAUCCUCUUCUAAGGAACGAUUCGUCAUCAUCAAAGCAGUUGCUGCCCUCUUCUUCACUGUAUGCCGUUCGUUCUGCCGGUGAAGUUCAAGUUCUCCUCAAAUUAGCAACACCGAUGUUGGACAUGGUGUCGAUUGUUCUGGACAGUUAACAAGAGAUAGAAUCGAGUAGGAAGUGGUGGUUGUUGAUACAAAUUGGGGUCUGUUGUUUGAAGAAGACGUUGGAUGAGCUAAUUGCAGUUGGAGAGUAGAGAUACAUCAAUUGGUUAAUGGUGUUGGCGGAGAGAAGCGCUGCUGCUGUUUUUUAAGUCAAUGAAUGUGUGCAUGAUUGAAUGCAUUUGAACAUCGAUUUGCAGGGAAAGAGUUUGUGGAAUCUCCAAUUUACAAGCAGUACACGGCCUUCACCAGUUGGCUAGGCGCGCAGAAGAUGUUUGCAGAAUUGCAUGAAAGAAGAAUUAUGGAGAGUCUUAAACGGACAGAGAGAAGAAGUUGCUGGCAGAAAUGUUUGAGUUCAUUGAAGCGUGCAGAUGAUGAGAAUGGCUGAGAUGUUUGAGUUCUAGAAGUGCAGAAUGGAUUCGAUUUUUGAACUGGUUCGAUGGAUAUGUUUGAGCAGCAAAGCUAGGCUCCAGUAUGGGUUGGUCUGGAAUUGAAUGGUUGAGUUGUUGCAGCUGGUAAAGAGAAGACUGAAUGUGUUUCUGCCAUGGAUUUGAGUUGUUAAUGCCUGCAGAGAUUAGAUUUUGAUGGGCCAGUUAAAUGGUGGUUGAGAUGUUGCUAUCGAUGUUGGUGCUGUGAAGAAUAUGGAGAUGGAAUGCAGCUCAGGGAAAUGGUGAGUUGAAGGCCGACGCCAUGGUGUUGUUCUCAGACUUAGAGGGUCUGAAUUUCAAAGCCAGUCGGUGACGGAAAGGAUUCAGGCAACAGAAAUUGCAACUGGUGGAGGUAGCUGCGAAGUCAAGCUGCUGGUGGAGACAAAAAGUUCAUGUUGGCAGCGAACAAAGGCAGUGAUGAUGGUUUGCGCAGAUUUUGGAGAUGAUUAAUGGUGGAAACCUCUCUUAUCUAUAUUUGGUUUUGUCUGGAACGGUCGAUGGUAGCUUCUGAGAAUGAAGGCGAGAGAGUUGGCUCUGAUCAUUAGUUUGUUGAGGGUAUUUGGCGGUUGUUAGCUUGGAAGGAGACGUUCACUGUUGAUGCACAAUACAAGUUGAGCUUUUCGUAUUUUUUAAGCAGCUGCCGUUAGAACUUCUUUUUGGGUUGGUGUUGAGCUCGUGACUGAGAUGAAGCUGAAUAUUGUCUGAGUUUAUCGGAUUUGAGAAGAGAGUGGUGGCUGGAAUGCUAUCGAGAAUGCAGGGCAGGUGCUGAUUGUUUAUAUGGUUGAGUUAUUACUACCCGAGAGUAAGGCAGUGAUGGUUAAUUAACUUCUCCAACAAUACCUAUACAAAUACAUCCAAACAGAAAGAGAAAGUGGAGGCCGGUUUUGGGAGACGAAGAGGAAAGCGGCAGCAGAGCCGCGAAUAGGAGAAAAGAAGGGUUUGCCGUUUUGAUUUUAUUUUCUCCAUGAUUUGCUAAAUUGUUUGUUAGGGUUUAGAUGAAAACCAAUUUAUUUAUAUAAACUCAACAAUGAUAAUUCUAAUAACGAUUUAAUCAAUUAGUAAUUUCUCUUCA
This is a long non-coding RNA of Papaver somniferum (opium poppy), 1771 nucleotides long. RefSeq lists it as uncharacterized. Lineage: Eukaryota; Viridiplantae; Streptophyta; Magnoliopsida; Ranunculales; Papaveraceae. The transcript is spliced from 2 exons. The record is from RefSeq and is a predicted model, not a curated record.